AGCUUUGCGCAGUGGCAGUAUCGUAGCCAAUGAGGUUUAUCCGAGGCGCGAUUAUUGCUAAUUGAAAAUUUUUCCCAUAAUGAUGAAUUUAAAAACAUUUUGUAACCUAGGGUGUUAA
RNAcentral lists this small nuclear RNA (118 nucleotides) under Fukomys damarensis (Damara mole-rat). RNAcentral describes it as "U4 spliceosomal RNA (ENSFDAG00000003786.1)". It matches the Rfam family "U4 spliceosomal RNA". Rfam says of the family: U4 small nuclear RNA (U4 snRNA) is a component of the major U2-dependent spliceosome. The structure of U4 snRNA from yeast and human has been reported. The record is from RNAcentral. Lineage: Eukaryota; Metazoa; Chordata; Mammalia; Rodentia; Bathyergidae.